RNAcentral lists this long non-coding RNA (203 nucleotides) under Elaeis guineensis (African oil palm). RNAcentral's name for it is "long non-coding RNA (EGUI_LNC046410)". Lineage: Eukaryota; Viridiplantae; Streptophyta; Magnoliopsida; Arecales; Arecaceae. The record is from RNAcentral.
GCAGGGAAAUAUCUAGUUUGUUCAUAUGGUAAUUCACCACAAACUGAGAGAAGGAUUCUGGGAGAGAUUGAAGGAUUAGAUCUUGAUUGAGUUCUGCAUCCAUGGUGAAUCCUAAUUGACCUAAUCUGGUGAUCAAGUCAAUCAUCUUCAACACAUGAUUUUGAACUGGAGUUUCCUUAGUCAUCCGAGCCUGAAACAACUGC